CUCAACAACCAGCUGCUUUACCUAUUAAUGCUCCACUUCCACCCUUCCUACUACUAAGGUGUAGAAGACCUAAUGCUAGUGGCAAUAGGAGAACCUGCCCUAUUUGGCUAGAUUUUAACCCUCUAUCCAAUGAACCAGAACCUAAAGCAGCUUGUAAACAUUGUCAUAGACGAUAUCGUUGUGAUUCUAAAGCACAUGGGACAUCCAGCAUGUUAGCACACUCUAAAGUUUGUCUUCAAAAACCUUCUAACAUAUUAAAAGACCCUAGGCAAUUAAACCUUGUAGUAGGUAGAAAGGGUGGUUUUCUAGUUCCUGCAAACCAAAGGUACGAUGUAAAAGAGUGUAGGAAAGUCGUAACAAACUUUUUCAUCCUUUAUGAGCAUGCCCUUAGAGUGGUAGAAGGUGAGGAAUUUAAGAAACUUAGUAAUGAUGUGGCAACUGCUUAUUUGAAAAGAAGACUUAAGAUCAAGAAUGGGUUGUUGGGUGAAGGAGAUCAUUUCCAUAUGAAGUGUCUUGCCCAUAUAUUGAACUUAGUAGUCAUGGACGGGUUGAAAGAUCAAGAUCUAGCAUCCGCAAUGCAGUUAGGUUUGUGAGGUCUUCACCUCAAAGAGCUUUAAAAUGUAAAGAAUGCAUCAAAAUGUCAAGGAUAACGUGUAUAAAAACACUUUUGUCUUGACGUUUCCACUAAGUGGAAUUCAAUGAGUUUGACUUGUUUCUCUUUUGUUUUUUCAAUAAAUUUUAGAAAUUGGACAAGUCUUAAUUGGAGCAGAACCUGGUCAUGUUGGUGUUGCACCAACACCCGAGUCUUCUAUUUAAUUCCAUUUAUUGGAAUGACUUUUUUGAAUAUUUUGGAGUCAAAUAUGACUCAUACUGCACCACACAUGCUUCUGGUUUUUGAAUAUGAUUUGAAAUGAAACUUGAUUGCUUUGCUUGGCUCCAUGGUGAUGUUAGACUUGUUUUAAUGUUGAUACAACAUGAUUGUAAACUUCUGGUUAAAUAGUUGCAUAUUAAUCGUAUGGAGAAGUAGUUGUUACUAAUAUAUUGGGCGACACUAUUGGUUGCAAAACGAAGGGUAUAUUGGUCUACCUUAAUAUGUUAAGAGGAAGUCCGGGUACUAUAUACAAAGGAGGGCAAGCUAAAAUUAACCAAGAGUCAAUAUAAAAACUGGAAAGAUUCCUUGUGUGCAGCACUUGAAAAUGUUCAAGAAUGACAAUGACGCUCCCUAGUUGACACCGUGAAGAAAUACUUUGCUUACGAUAUAGUAUCUUUCAAUAACUUAUUGAACACCUCAAUUUCGGUCUCUAUUUGCAGACCUUAUGCACAUUUUCUUAAAUUUUUAUAAUUCAAUUUUCUACUUCUUCGUUCUUGAUUACCUUUCGAGAUAUUUGUGGAUAUUUUUGAAGUUUCAAUAUAUUCAUUUUAGGGACCAUUCCAAUGUGUAAUAAUGUUACACAUUAGGGAUUAUAAUUGUGGUUUACUCUUUGUUAAUUUUUUGUGAAAUAUUAUUUUUAACUUCA
Medicago truncatula (barrel medic) is the source of this 1517-nucleotide long non-coding RNA. RefSeq lists it as uncharacterized. The record is from RefSeq and is a predicted model, not a curated record. NCBI's taxonomy places the organism in Eukaryota, Viridiplantae, Streptophyta, Magnoliopsida, Fabales, Fabaceae. The transcript has 5 exons.